Molecule: ribosomal RNA, 57 nt
Filed under: Podosphaera xanthii
Lineage: Eukaryota; Fungi; Ascomycota; Leotiomycetes; Helotiales; Erysiphaceae
Description: partial 28S ribosomal RNA
Source: RNAcentral
AUGACCUCGGAUCAGGUAGGGAUACCCGCUGAACUUAAGCAUAUCAAUAAGCGGANG